RNAcentral lists this ribosomal RNA (497 nucleotides) under uncultured bacterium. RNAcentral describes it as "partial 16S ribosomal RNA". It matches the Rfam family "Bacterial small subunit ribosomal RNA", at positions 28 to 507 of the family's 1533-position model. The record is from RNAcentral.
GAUGAACGCUGGCGGCGUGCCUAAUACAUGCGAGUCGAGCGAACAGACGAGGAGCUUGCUCCUCUGACGUUAGCGGCGGACGGGUGAGUAACACGUGGAUAACCUACCUAUAAGACUGGGAUAACUUCGGGAAACCGGAGCCAAUACCGGAUAAUAUAUUGAACCGCAUGGUUCAAUAGUGAAAGACGGUUUUGCUGUCACUUAUAGAUGGAUCCGCGCCGCAUUAGCUAGUUGGUAAGGUAACGGCUUACCAAGGCAACGAUGCGUAGCCGACCUGAGAGGGUGAUCGGCCACACUGGAACUGAGACACGGUCCAGACUCCUACGGGAGGCAGCAGUAGGGAAUCUUCCGCAAUGGGCGAAAGCCUGACGGAGCAACGCCGCGUGAGUGAUGAAGGUCUUCGGAUCGUAAAACUCUGUUAUUAGGGAAGAACAAAUGUGUAAGUAACUAUGCACGUCUUGACGGUACCUAAUCAGAAAGCCACGGCUAACUACGUG